CUGCGGCAGGCGGGCGGGCAGGCAGGCGGGCGCAGGCGGGUCGGGGCGGACCCGGGCGGGCUGGGGCGGGCACGGCGACUCUAGACGCUCGCUCACUGGUGAGCUUUGACGUCGAUCAAGUGGGAAGGGGCGGAACACGGAGCUUUCGCCCACUCUGAUUCGGUCUGGCCUGGAGUACGCCACUGUGACGCUCCAGGCCCCGAUUAUGUAAAGCGCAGUCACGCGGGGGCGCCACCUGGAGGGGACAGGCUCCCGGCUGGGACCUCGGAAGAGCUUAGGCUCCGCCCUACUUGCUCGGCGUUCCCGCCCUCGCCCCGCCUCUUCACUGCCUCGGGCGCAUCUGCGCUUCUCGCGAUACCUUCGGGGAUUUGUGAUGUUUUGGUUUCCAUGGAGCUGCCCUCUGGGAGCACGAGGGGUACAAUUGGAACGAAGGCGGAGCACAGUUAACUGGAACUCUGCAGCCGCCCAAGACCAAAGAAGCUUCUCUCGCAGGCAACCACCUGGUGAUUCCUGACAAGGCCUGGCUUCCGGAAGGCAAGCCACGCCCUCCGGGCUCCUCUGCCUCUCUUUGGCUCCAGCUUGGCACGUAUAGGAGCUGCCCAAGGAAUGACAGACUUCUUGUUCUUGAGGUGUUGGCAAAGCUUCCUGCACUGCUGACCUAUCCAAGUCCUGCCUUGUAGCUGCUCUUGGGCAUAAGUUGGCUCUGCCAACCACCCGUACAGUACUAAUUGCAGUUUUACCUCAACGUGCGCUUUUUACAAUUAAAAGCUGACUUAAUGGCUUCUA
This is a long non-coding RNA of Pongo pygmaeus (Bornean orangutan), 786 nucleotides long. RefSeq lists it as uncharacterized. The record is from RefSeq and is a predicted model, not a curated record. The transcript has 2 exons. NCBI's taxonomy places the organism in Eukaryota, Metazoa, Chordata, Mammalia, Primates, Hominidae.